RNAcentral lists this ribosomal RNA (277 nucleotides) under uncultured bacterium. Its description in RNAcentral is "partial 16S ribosomal RNA". It matches the Rfam family "Bacterial small subunit ribosomal RNA", at positions 30 to 311 of the family's 1533-position model. The record is from RNAcentral.
AUUGAACGCUGGCGGAAUGCUUUACACAUGCAAGUCGAGCGGCAGCGCGGGGCAACCUGGCGGCGAGCGGCGAACGGGUGAGUAAUACAUCGGAACGUGCCCAGACGUGGGGGAUAACUACUCGAAAGAGUGGCUAAUACCGCAUACGAUCUACGGAUGAAAGCGGGGAUCGCAAGACCUCGCGCGUCUGGAGCGGCUGAUGGCAGAUUAGGUAGUUGGUAGGAUAAAAGCCUACAAGCCAACGAUCUGUAGCUGGUCUGAGAGGAUGAUCAGCCAC